CCACUACAGAACUUUAGAUAAGGUCUAAGUCCUGGGAGGGAAGAGGAGCUGGAUCUUUUCUAUUGGUAAGAGAUCUAUAGGCUGGAUGAGAGAUCAAUAAGAAAGUAGGGAGAAGAAUUUCACUUGGAGACAGCAACCAUUACAAGAUGUGAGAGAAGGAAGCAUUGGAGAAGACUGAUAGCUCCAGACUCAUGACCAGGCAGUUCUUGGUGUGAUGAACUGAGAUAUGGAUUGGAGGAGGAGGAGCAUGCUGGCGGUGGAAGCUAGGGAUGCUUCCUAAAAUGCAACUAGCUGGCAGAAGACAGAGCACUUGGGUUGAAUGUUUCACAGAGCUAAAGGUGCACUAAUUCUGGAUGAGACUCCAGCUGGGAGGAUAGAUGUGUCCAUCCCUUCCAUCUGUCUAUCUGUCUGUCUAUAUCGCAGGAGGAGAAAAGCAUAGAUCAGAAUGAUGGACAUGCCCCUCUCCAGGACGUGUCACCCUAGGGCAGGGAAAUCAUUAGAUCUUCCAAUCCUGAAGAUUUCUCCGAGAACAACAGCUUGCAGAAAGCAAACCCACGUUGCGAGUUCCAGACAAAGCCCCAACUGUUCCAACUGUGAUUACCUAAACGCGUUUUAGAACUUGG
RNAcentral lists this long non-coding RNA (623 nucleotides) under Equus asinus (donkey). Its description in RNAcentral is "lncRNA (ENSEASG00005034291.1)". Lineage: Eukaryota; Metazoa; Chordata; Mammalia; Perissodactyla; Equidae. The record is from RNAcentral.